CAAUAGCGUAUAUUAAAGUUGUUGCAGUUAAAAAGCUCGUAGUUGGAUUUCGGGGCAGCCUGGCUGGUCCGCCGCAAGGCGAGUACUGGUCAGCCGCCCUUCCUCUCGAAAGCCCCGACUGCUCUUCAUUGCAGUGGUCGGGUAGUUCGGGACGUUUACUUUGAAAAAAUUAGAGUGUUCAAGGCAGGCCUACGCCUGAAUACAUUAGCAUGGAAUAAUGGAAGAGGACCUCGGUCCUAUUUUGUUGGUUUCCAGGGCCGAAGUAAUGACUAAGAGGGACAGUUGGGGGCAUUCGUAUUUAAUUGUCAGAGGUGAAAUUCUCGGAUUUAUGAAAGACGAACAACUGCGAAAGCAUUUGCCAAGGAUGUUUUCAUUAA
RNAcentral lists this ribosomal RNA (377 nucleotides) under uncultured eukaryote. Its description in RNAcentral is "partial 18S ribosomal RNA". It matches the Rfam family "Eukaryotic small subunit ribosomal RNA", at positions 592 to 976 of the family's 1831-position model. The record is from RNAcentral.